RNAcentral lists this ribosomal RNA (426 nucleotides) under uncultured Actinomycetes bacterium. Its description in RNAcentral is "bacterial SSU rRNA". It matches the Rfam family "Bacterial small subunit ribosomal RNA", at positions 958 to 1385 of the family's 1533-position model. Lineage: Bacteria; Bacillati; Actinomycetota; Actinomycetes. The record is from RNAcentral.
AACGCGAAGAACCUUACCUAGGUUUGACAUGCAGGGAAAAGCCGUAGAGAUACGGUGUCCGUAAGGGUCCUGCACAGGUGGUGCAUGGCUGUCGUCAGCUCGUGUCGUGAGAUGUUGGGUUAAGUCCCGCAACGAGCGCAACCCUCGUUCUAUGUUGCCAGCGGGUAAUGCCGGGAACUCAUAGGAGACUGCCGGGGUCAACUCGGAGGAAGGUGGGGAUGACGUCAAGUCCUCAUGCCCCUUAUAUCUAGGGCUGCAAACAUGCUACAAUGGCCGGUACAGAGGGCUGCGAGACCGCAAGGUGGAGCGAAUCUCAAAAAGCCGGUCUCAGUUCGGAUUGGGGUCUGCAACUCGACCCCAUGAAGUCGGAGUCGCUAGUAAUCGCGAAUCAGCAACGUCGCGGUGAAUACGUUCCCGGGCCUUGUA